RNAcentral lists this ribosomal RNA (465 nucleotides) under uncultured bacterium. Its description in RNAcentral is "partial 16S ribosomal RNA". It matches the Rfam family "Bacterial small subunit ribosomal RNA", at positions 28 to 507 of the family's 1533-position model. The record is from RNAcentral.
GACGAACGCUGGCGGCGUGCUUAACACAUGCAAGUCGUACGGUAAGGCCCUUUCGGGGGUACACGAGUGGCGCACGGGUGAGUAACACGUGAGUAACCUUCCCACAACUUUGGGAUAACGCUAGGAAACUGGUGCUAAUACUGGAUAUGUGCUCCUGCUGCAUGGUGGGGGUUGGAAAGCUCCGGCGGUUGUGGAUGGACUCGCGGCCUAUCAGCUUGUUGGUGGGGUAGUGGCCUACCAAGGCGGCGACGGGUAGCCGGCCUGAGAGGGUGACCGGCCACAUUGGGACUGAGAGACGGCCCAGACUCCGACGGGAGGCAGCAGUGGGGAAGAUUGCACAAGGGGCGCAAGCCGGAUGCAGCAACGCCGCGUGCGGGAGGACGGCCUUCGGGUUGUAAACCGAUUUCAGCAGGGACGAAGCUUUUUGUGACGGUACCUGCAGAAGAAGCACCGGCUAACUACGUG